AGCAGCCGCGGUAAUUCUAGCUCCAAUAGCGUAUAUUAAAGUUGCUGCAGUUAAAAAGCUCGUAGUUGAAUUUCGGGACUAAUAUGUCGGUCGUGCCUCGGUACGUACUGGCAUCGUUGGUUUCUCCUUUCUGAAGAACCAUGAUGUCAUUUAUUUGGUGUCGUGGGGAAUCAGGACUGUUAACUUUGAAAAAAUUAGAGUGUUUAAAGCAGGCUCACGCUUGAAUACAUUAGCAUGGAAUAAUGAAAUAGGACGUUUGAUUCUAUUUUGUUGGUUUCUAGGAUCGACGUAAUGAUUAAUAGGGAUAGUUGGGGGCAUUAGUAUU
Molecule: ribosomal RNA, 325 nt
Filed under: uncultured Glomeromycotina
Lineage: Eukaryota; Fungi; Glomeromycota
Description: SSU rRNA
Rfam family: Eukaryotic small subunit ribosomal RNA
Source: RNAcentral